AGUAACCAAGUUUAAGGUAAUUUUCCAUAACUUUAUCACUGUUUGAUAAAACUUUUAAACAAAUGUUCACAUUAACUAAAAAUUAAGAAAAAAAACGUAAUAAUAAUUUUGAAUAAUUAUUAUAGACUGAUUAUUAAAUUUAUUGUAGGAGUUGAGCAAAUAAACAUGAAGCAACAUCAACGUAGUACAACAGCUGACAUUUAAUUUGGAAUUGCUUAGAAUGCUAUUUAUUCCAUUGUGAAAUGAACUCUUGUCAAGGUUUUGAAGCUUUUAUCAAAGAAUUUUUUAGAAAUCAAUUAUGUGAAUAACAGCUUCUUUAGAAUUAUUGAUAUCUUUUAUGAACUCUUAUGAAGUCUAUCAUUUAAAAGUAUUACAUCAAAUCUUGAAGGCUUAAAUUAAUUUUUUAUUAAAAGAAGAAAAAUGUCAAGAUCAUAAUCAAGUAUUUAUUCAUAUUUAAAUGAAUAAAAUAAAUAAAGAAACUUUAUCAUAUAUUAUUUCAAAUUAGUCAACUAAGCUGUUGAAUUUUACAGUCUCAUCAAUUCAUCAUAAGACUCAAUUAUUCCAAGAUAAUUUCAUAUGAGACGAUAAUGAACAUACUCACGAAAUCUUUUUUAUUUUAAUGAAAUUACAGCCUUCAUAAAAGUUUCCAAAUUACCUGUUGUUUUUAAGUCUUUUACAAAGAAGAUGCGGAAAUGAAUUUUGCGGUCAUUAGGCUGAACUUAAUAACAAUGUUGCUACUUUCUUUUUAUACAUGAUAUAUACAAUAAAGAGAAAGUGUAUUACCAUCAGACAAAUUCGUAUGAGGGGGAAAGCGUUCAAGUCUGAAGAAAUUGAGAUUCCUUAGAGCAUCAUUUAUUCAGAAAUGUUUCAUCGGAUGUCCCUUCACUGGCGAUUUAAUCGUUACAUGACUCUUGGUAACAUAUAGUUACAGCUCAAGGAGAGGCUAACUUCUUGAAGAUUGUAUCGAUGAGUUUUUACUAUAUCAUGAGAAAAAUAGGAAGCCUACAUGGAUAGGAAAGAAUCGAUCUGAAUGUGAAAGUCUUGAAAGUAAAUGAGAUCGUGGACAUGAGUGCACUCGAAGUUGAGACUUUCUUCAGUCACCUUCAAGUAUAUACAUAUAGAAAAUCCAUAUGCAAUUUUCUGCUUCAAGAUAACCACUAUGUUUAUACACAGCUAUUUAUUUUAAUGAAGAUGAAUUCAACAAAAAAAUGAUAAAUUAUUGGCGCUAUGAUUUCUGUGAAACAUCCAUUAUUCAUUCAAUUUUUUCCAUGUAAUCGAAGAUCAAAACCUUUUACAUUCACAGUCUUCUUUAUUGUGAAAAAAGUAAUUUCAAAUUUAUUUUGAAAUAACAUCUUGUCUAGGAAAGUAAUUACAUGGUCCAAUUAUUUUUUAUGUAUUUUUCCGGCAUCACAGAGAAAGUAUUCACUUAGUGUUUGGCUAAUUGAAAUUGCGGUCUUUCUCUUGGGGUAAUUUGUUAGAAAAGAAAACCAAAAGAAUCUCGAGGUCUUCAUCGAAUUGUUAAUUUCAUCAACAAUGAUGAUCAUUUUUGCUGGAAAUAAUUUAUACAUUUAAUGUCACCACAAGCGAAUCAAUAAAUAUAUAUUUCUUUACUAUU
RNAcentral lists this long non-coding RNA (1615 nucleotides) under Chelonus insularis. RNAcentral describes it as "uncharacterized LOC118074723, transcript variant X1". The record is from RNAcentral. Lineage: Eukaryota; Metazoa; Arthropoda; Insecta; Hymenoptera; Braconidae.